Molecule: long non-coding RNA, 1984 nt
Filed under: Zea mays
Lineage: Eukaryota; Viridiplantae; Streptophyta; Magnoliopsida; Poales; Poaceae
Description: drought responsive lncRNA
Source: RNAcentral
UGUGUAUUAUUCUCAAUUCAUUCCCAUUUUAUUAUAGCGAAAAGAUAAAGAUGAUAUCAAAUUACAAGUGUACCUUCAGCUUGUAAGAGGGUAAAAGUACAAGUGUGACGCAAAAACCAAUGCCAAAUCAGCGUGCCCAGUACAAGGAUACUGUUCACCUAUUUAUAGGCACGGAUCGCAGCCCAUGGAAAAUUACAAUAAUGCCCUUUACAUUUAUUAAUAACUCUAUGAUAACUCUUUGAGGUCUAAUCUGGUUUUUCAUCUUUAAGUCGGUUUCUUUUUCCGCCGCUACUCCGAAGCUCUUCUACACACAGCUUCGGCACUGCGCCAACCUUUGUGCUUCUUUGUACCGUGGCUCUGAUCCGAGUCCGAAGGUGCCUGUUAAUGUACUUUGCUCCAGAAACAUUGUUAAAUUAUGUUUUUGAGGACCUUCGGAAGCCGAAGGCCCCCAACACCAUUCCUCAAAUAGGAUUGCUAUUCCAACCUAAGAACUGGAAAUUGUCAUGGUGUCAUGGACGAAGAAUAUAGUAGUACAAACAUUAUUACUAUAUGCAUGAUAUAGCAACAAACAGUGUCGUAUAAAUUGCAGUUAUUUAAUUUGCCAGAGAUCACUUCACUCGAAUGCAAAAUGUAGAGGUAGCAAUGUAUAUGCGCACACGCAUAAUGGAGACAAGGUUGUAACUACAACUGUAUUUUCACUAUUUGUAAUGCUAGUUAUAAUUAUUGUAAAUUGAAAGUAGCGCAAACCAAUUAUGAUUCAAUUCUAAUAAAUAGACGGUAAAAACUUAAUGGCUUGAUAUACUAUUAAAAGUAGAAUAGGUAAGUGUAAAUAUUUCAUUAUGUCCUGGUUACUGAAUUAACUUUGACACCCAAUUUAUAUAUGUAAUGAAAUAAAACUCAUGAUCAAACCUUUUUCAUCAGAAUUGUAGGUCCUCCCUUCUUAUAUUAUCACUGAUGGACUCCUUACAUAGUUGAUCAGGUCAUAAAUUUUGCUUGUUGUAGAACAUUCAUGACUGAAUAAAAACAAAACACAAAGUGUACACGUAGAUAACCCUAAUUUGUCUAAUUUGUGAGACAUAAAGCUUACUGGACAAAGGACUCUGGAUACUAAAACAAAUAUGUUGUGGUAACUACAAUUUUUGUUCUAUAUGUAUAGUAAUGCAUACAGUGGGAUCUUGCAGCUCGAAAUGUUUAGCUUCCCUUUGUGAUAUAAACUACAAAUGCAUAUACUUGAUCUGAAUUUACAUCUAUAAUUUGCAAUAACAAAACAUUACUGCCACGCUUGAUGGAACCGACCAAAGAACAAAGAGCGUGAGGAAAGGCUGAAAGACAAGAGAGUACGUGUGUCAGUCAGUCGAUCAUCCAGCGAGUGAAACCAAGAAAUUCAUGGCGGGUUGAACGAUACACUGGAGGGAGGUACGCACGUUCCUAGCGAUGUGCUCCCAGCGGCGGUGGUCACUAGCCUGUUGACUCAUGGGGACAAGGUCAUAGUCGGCGUCGGCUUGCUCGAGUGCCAGCAGCAUGUAUGGUGACAUUGCUUACCUGUACCGGUGGAGAUAAGCCCGGGCAGGCCGGGAGCUGAUUCAGCCAGUGGUUGAUUGGUAACUCCAUUUCACCAUUCGAUUGAAAUCCCCAAGUGGAAGGGAUGGUGAGAAACCCAUGAGUCAUUUCUAAAAAAGAGAAGACCCCAAUGAGACUGCUCAUCUGCAGAUUCAGAUCGAUGGAUGCAAUGGGGAUGCCCGCUAGCAGGAUUGGAUCUCCUCCUUGGGAGCCUGUUAAUUGGCACGGUCGAUUGCGGUGGAGAUGGAACAGGAAGCUCUGUCUCCUGCUAGAUCUAGUCACGUUCUCUCCUUGCGGGGCGACCCAUCUAGGCGAGCACCGGGAUGGAGCUGCAUAUUGGCGACGACUAGGGUUUGGAUUGGAGUGAGGAGACGAGGGCGGUUGGCGAUAUGAUCUCGUGGGGGUGAAUGGGGCUAGCCGGCUA